CAAGUUAUCGUCGUACGUCGUCGGCGACUGUCGCAACCGCGACGAUAACGAUAACGUUCAAUUUUGUUUAAUUUAUGAAAAUAUAGUUCUGUCCGGUUUCCUCGGUGGCGUCAGUUUAUUGUGGUAAUGGCACGCACGGAAGACAUAAAUGUAAAGUUUAACGCGAAUAAAAUAUAUAUACAAAACCGUUGUGAGUUUUUUUUUUUUUUUUUUAUUAUUUACAUCGAAUGACGAACGUGGUCAUCUCCACAAAUUAAAGUUUUAUUUAACCUGAAACAUAUCAGGACAAAUAUUUAGCUGAAGAUAAUAAGUACACAGUGUUGUAUUAUGCGAUUUAAAUUCGGGCCAUAUUAAUGUCAUAAUAGAAAAUAAGCUAGCAUAAACAUUUUUUUUUCUACUGUUAGCACACUUGUUCAAGCCUUAAAUCUCAAAACAAAUGAAUUCAUAACCAGCUUCAUUUACAGAGACAUUUAGCAUCUUAUCUAUGGAUUCAAAUGUCUUAAAUAAUAAUUUAAAUAAUUUUAGAUGGAAUGGAAAAAAAAAGAAAUUAAUAUUAUCCUAUAUACCACUAUGGCGCUAUAUGUUAAACAAAGACAGAAACACCUAUUUUAUUCGCCAUCUCUUUGUAACAUGUUCGUUCGGGCAACACUGUAAAGUAAGCGUUCCAGUUGUCAUAUAUAAUGCGGAGCCAGGACUCUCUAUUAAAAAUGAUGCUAAAACAGAAUCCAGUAGGAAAAAGGCCCUUGGGAAAACCAAAAUUGAGAUGGGAAGAUAUAGUUAAGAAAAAUAUAGAAAACUUAGGAGGCAUAGCAAACUGGAAGAAUUCGGCGAUGAUUAGAAACGGCUGGAGAAUUGGUUGUGAGACGGGAUGAUCGUAGCAGCCGUUUAACUCAAAAGAAAGAAAGAAAGGUUUCCCUGCUCAUUAGGAAACAACUUUUUGAUCGUCCUCGUGAUAUUAACAUUAUUCUGGAUGAUGUUUCCAUAACUGAAUUAAGUUUUGACAAAGAAUAUAUAGCAGCUGUAGAGGCAAAACAAGUAGCCCACUAAGAAGCUCAGUGUGUUGUCUUCUUUGUUGAAUGUGCCAAACAGAACGUCAACAAAAGAUUUUGCAAACUGAAGGCAUUGGCGCAACUAUGGGGGGGGGGGUGCUUUGGGUCCUUUGCACCCCCAAAAAAAUCGUUUAAAAACUGAAAAAAAAAAGUUUAAUAUUUAUCGAAUUACAAUUAUAA
Molecule: long non-coding RNA, 1229 nt
Organism: Sipha flava (yellow sugarcane aphid)
Lineage: Eukaryota; Metazoa; Arthropoda; Insecta; Hemiptera; Aphididae
Exons: 4
Source: RefSeq, a predicted model, not a curated record